RNAcentral lists this long non-coding RNA (624 nucleotides) under Pan troglodytes (chimpanzee). RNAcentral describes it as "lincRNA". Lineage: Eukaryota; Metazoa; Chordata; Mammalia; Primates; Hominidae. The record is from RNAcentral.
CUCGAAGCUGGGGCGUCUGACACCUGAGGCCCGAAGUAGGUGGCCAGCUUCUUAGAGGGCCAACCCAGGGCAUUAACACACCAGGAUAGUGGCCGCAGUUGUAUUAUCUUGUGCAUUUGUCAACAGAGGUCAUCCGAACGCUGAGAUAAAGGCUUGGGAUUCCAUUGUCUCAUCUCUUUCUGGGAGUGAUUUUCCUCUCAUCUGGAAGUGCAGAGACAGUCUUCAUAGGGAACUGAGAUUACCUCCAAAAAACAUUUGUGAAGUGAGCGAUUCCUAGAAGGCUGUUAAUGUUGAUUAAUGAAAUUAUACAAAAAGAAUCGUAAGAUAGCUGGAGAAGAAAAUUAUCUGUGAUGCCUGGAAAAGAUACGUCUCAGUGGGAGGUAAGUACAGAAUCCUGAGUUCUGAGAUGUGAGGAAAUUCAGUUGAGGUAAUGGUUCUGCUAGAAUUGUGGCUACCAGUAAAUUUUUGUUUCUUCAAAUUAUGAUUUAUUUCUCUUCCUGAUAACAUUGAACAAUCAUAAAUGUGGAGGGAAAGGAAUCAUUGAGGGUUGAUUUAGAGAGAGUAAACAGGUGCAAAGCCAUGGUUCCUGUAUGUUUUAACAAAUACUAACUGAGCACCCGCCCU